RNAcentral lists this small RNA (435 nucleotides) under Histoplasma capsulatum var. duboisii H88. RNAcentral's name for it is "Histoplasma capsulatum H88 hypothetical RNA". The record is from RNAcentral. Lineage: Eukaryota; Fungi; Ascomycota; Eurotiomycetes; Onygenales; Ajellomycetaceae.
GUGGUCACUACACCGACGACAAAGCUGUUGUUGCUUCCAUUUUACUGAAGACUUACUUUCGCCAACUUCCCAUAAAUAUUACAAAUUAGUUAUCCUCGCCAUGGAAAUAUCUUUGGCAUACGCAUUUGGCGCAUGCCGUUUCUGUGCAAGUAUGUGGCCCUGAUAUUGACAGACCCCAUACCAAUGGCUGCUGCUUGGGACUUUUCCUCUCCUUUUGUAUAGACUGGCGUAUGAUUAUCAAUGCAUUGGCCAUCUCGCCUUCACAUUUGUACUUUCUAUCGAGAAUGUACUCCUCGACCUCCACACAAUGUUAGCCCCGCAGUUCCAGCUUCCUAUACACCAGCUGCUUGCCGUGAUUGCUAUGCUAGUAUUUUUGGGAGUUAUAGUUGUUGUGGCUAGUGCUGUAGAUAUCAAAUAUGAUGUUAGCGCGAGUAG